Small nuclear RNA from Dromiciops gliroides (monito del monte), 105 nucleotides. Lineage: Eukaryota; Metazoa; Chordata; Mammalia; Microbiotheria; Microbiotheriidae. The record is from RefSeq and is a predicted model, not a curated record.
CUAAGUAAUUUUUUUAAGAAUACUAAAAUUGGUAUGAUACAGACAAGAUUAGCAUGGCCCCUGCGCAAGGAUGACAUGCUAAUUCAUGAAGUGUUCCAUAUUAAA